AGGAAAGUGACACUUGGUAUUAUUUUAUCAAAUCUUGUUUGUCUUCUUUUUUCUCUUAAAAGAUUAAAAGAGUCCAGAAGCUUUCCCCUCCUGUGUCUUGUUGGCAGUGGAUUGUUUUCUUGUACCUCUGACUCUUUGAAGAGAUUGCAUCUCUAAGAGUGGCUACUUUAAGCAUCAGCCCCAAAACUUGAAAAGGAAAGAGCUCCCUCAUACCAACUGCAUUCCCAGCUGCUUGUCCAGUUACUCUGGUUUCUUGUUUAGCCCUCUGCUUUCUGCUCCAGCUGUGCUGUGUGUGGCUCUGUGUGAGUCUGUUUGUUAACACCAUGCUUGGUAUGUUAAAGUGGAAUUUCUUCUAUGAUUCUUCCUUUGUGACUCUCCCACACCAAGGGUCAGAUCUUGAAAGUAGAACUUCUGAGGUUGAAAGCAUUUGGAGAUUUAGAUGUCACGAUCUUGAGCCAGGUGUGGUGGUGCACACCUGCAGUCUGGGAAGAGGCAGCCUCAGUUCCAUGGUGACUCUGAGAUAAACUUGAUGAGUCAUGAGACCAGCCUCAAAAAUAUUAACAGAUCAACAGUACCCCUACCCCCACCUUAGCAAUAUUUUAAGAUCUUGAUUUACCCAGAUACUGAUUUCUUUAGUGUCCUAUGUGAUGAACUGUUCUAAUACACUGGGGCAGGCUCCAACAAGGAUGUCAUGGGGUGUCUCAGCUCUUAUAGUAGACACAGGAUGCUGUCCCUGUCCUCCUUGCUUGAACUUAAUAGUUAGAGAGCAGUGUGGAGGUUAGGACUGCUGGUCUAUUGAGCGUGUCUGAGAUGUGGAUUUCAGCCCCACUUGGUCAAGGCACCGGAAGAAGCCUCUUUGUCCCCUCUGAGGUGCUAAGAGGCAUCAGUUUAGUCAAGCGAGAUAGUUAGUGAAUGUCUAGUACAAGCAAAGUAAACCCAACCCUCUUUCACUCUGAUCCUGGUGGGUGUGCAGAUUGGAGCUUGUAAAACACACUGGGAAGUCUGGUGACCGUGUUCGUUUUCUCUUGCACAUCUUGGUUAGGGCUUAUGCUGGUAAUUUCUUUAAAACAUAUGAAGUAAUUUUCCAACUAAUAUCUUAUUAGUGGAAAGCGUCAUUAGGUCAUAUUAGAUAAUGACUUUUAAAAAUUUCUCUGUUGUUAGAUGGAUGCUCAUUUAAAUGAAGAUUUUAAUUGAAGGAAGUCGUGCAAAAUGUAAUUAUGGCAUGCACAAUGGACAUGCCUGUUCUCUGUGCUGUGAAAUGACCCACAUGAGGCCAGCAGUUCUGCCUGCAUAGAAAGCGCUUCUCUGGAGACUCCAUGCACGUCUGAUUUAAUUUCAUAAGAGACUUUCCCCCAGGAGUCUGUCUACCCUAAUUAUGUGGGCGGGCUGGAGAGUGAUUUUGUACUCAGAGGUUGUAGAUGUCUCUGUACAGCCUCCCAUUUACAGAAGUACUAUGAUGGCUGAUCGUGUAAAUCAUGUAUGUGUAACCAUGGUUAUGAAACCGAGUCAGGAAAAAUUGUAAAGAAAGUAUUUGUGGUUGAGUGCAGCUCAUUGUGUAGUUAAUAGAAACAGAUGAUCAAAUUGCAGUAAGUAUAGUUUUGACCAAGUUUACUAGCACAGUCUAGCAGACUGCUACGCUGAUCUGUUUGAUAGCUCGUUAAUAAGGUUGUCUGAAUAAAGAUUAUGAAGGAUGGCUGCCACAGAAUCAGUAUGUGAUGUAUGCAUAUACAUUUAUGUUUGUGACAGCGUCUCAUGUAGAAUUCAGUAUGUAACUUAGGAUAGCCUUGUACUUCUGAUACUCCUGCAUCCAUCUCUUAAGUGCUAGGAACAUAGGUGUGUACCACAGGCUGGACUUAUAUUUUAUCAUUGUCAUUGACAUAUGAGUACUGCCUGCUUAUGCUUCUAUGAAGUUCAUUGGUAAUAAAAAGGAAUAAACUUUAGAAAAUGCUGCAUGGAUACUUAUAUUUGAUGAAACAAGGAAUCCACAUUAUGUCAGCAGAAAGUAAGUCUAGAACAGGUUAAGUUACAACUGAUGUGACUCUCCCUGCAUUUUGAAUUCAAUAUAAAAUUGUCAGUAUAUGAUCUAUUGAGAAAAUAUCUUAUUAUAAACAAAUUUGGACAGCUUCUAAGCCCUGGCAUUAGAGACCUUCCUAAAGAGAUCUGCUUUACUUGGUUCUUGUUUGGCAUCUAUAUCAAUUUCUUUUCUAGAUGCUCUGACAGAAACAACUUAAGGGAGAAUGGGCUCACUAUUUGUGGGCACAGUCUAUUACGUUAGGGAAGGUGUGGGCAAUAUGGCUGCACUAUGACAGGCAGCUCUUACACUGUCCCUCAUGAGGCAGAGAGAGGAAUGCUGGUGCUCAGCUGGCUUCCUCUUUUUCCUUUUUAUUCAGUCUCCCACAAAAUUCCAAGUCCAGCCACUGGAAAUUAACCAUCACAUCAUAGCUCCCUUCCAAGGCUCUGUGUACUGUCUAAGUUCCUGAGUAGCUGGACUACUGGACUAACCCUGAUGCAGUACAAGACAAGGCAAUGGCACUUGUGAAGAAGUGUGAUGUAGAAAUGCAGCCGAUUCACAGCACAUUGGGGAGGUUUCUGAUCAGCUCAACAUUUUGUGCAUCUAGUGUCACAUUCAUCAAGCUAAGAGGACAAUCUGCUAAUCUUUAGUUGUAUUUAUCCUGCUAUCAAUCAUUGGACAACAUGUCUAAGAAGAACAGACCCCAAGUAACAAAGCUGGAAAGUGGAGAGGAAUUAUACACUUCUUCCAUGGAUUUUUCUGAUUCAAGAGUUGAAGUAGUUUGGCUUUAUUCUGAGCAUUGUCUGGUUUCCUAGGAGAAGUUUCUUUUGCAAAUUAGUACUUGGCUUGGAAUCCUUAACUUUUAUACAUAAGAGUUCUUUUAAAAAACACAGUAUCUUGUAAAUUUCACCUUUAUCAAGCCUAAUUUACUUAAGCUUAUAGUAAAAUUUGUUUUGAGGUGCUAGGAAUUGAACUCUGGGCCAAGACUGCUGGGUGAGGCAAAGUCAUGAAACGUAAAAAUGCAUGUAUUUUCAUGUUCUGACCAAUAUAUAAAGCCAGUAAUGCUUUGUCCUACCUUUAAGAACUGAAAUGGAAUUUAAAUAAUGAUCACAAAGAAUGUAGAAGUUACAUUUGUUGUUACAUUUUAAGAAUUUUGUUAUGGGGCUGGUGAGAUGGCUCAGUGGUUAAGAGCACUGACUGUUCUUCUGAAGGUCCUGUGUUCAAAUCCCAGCAACCACAUAGUGGCUCACAACCAUCUGUAAUGAGAUCUGAUGCCCUCUUCUUGUGUGUCUAAAGACAGCUACAGUGUACUUACAUAUAAUAAUAAAUAAAUCUUUGGGCCGGAGUGAGCAGGGCUGGAGCAAGCAGAGGUCCUGAGUUUAAUUCUCAGCAACGACAUGAUGGUUCACAACCAUCUGUACAGCUACAGUGUACUCAUUUACAUAAAAUAAAU
RNAcentral lists this long non-coding RNA (3464 nucleotides) under Mus musculus (house mouse). RNAcentral describes it as "long non-coding RNA chr14:64681429-64684893". The record is from RNAcentral. Lineage: Eukaryota; Metazoa; Chordata; Mammalia; Rodentia; Muridae.